RNAcentral lists this ribosomal RNA (253 nucleotides) under uncultured bacterium. Its description in RNAcentral is "partial 16S ribosomal RNA". It matches the Rfam family "Bacterial small subunit ribosomal RNA", at positions 524 to 776 of the family's 1533-position model. The record is from RNAcentral.
UACGUAGGGUGCAAGCGUUGUCCGGAAUUAUUGGGCGUAAAGAGCGUGUAGGCGGCCAGACAGGUCCGUUGUGAAAACUGGAGGCUUAACCUCCAGACGUCGAUGGAAACCGUCUGGCUAGAGUCCGGAAGAGGAGAGUGGAAUUCCUGGUGUAGCGGUGAAAUGCGCAGAUAUCAGGAAGAACACCCGUGGCUAAGGCGGCUCUCUAGUACGGUACUGACGCUGAGACGCGAAAGCGUGGGGAGCGAACAGG